UGGAAAUUGACAACUUUUAAUCAGCUGACAGACUACUGCCAGCAUCUGCUCGUGUCAGUACACCUAUUGGCUGUUAUUACCUGCUAAAAAUAUAUUUGCCAAAACUGAUACACAAAUUAUUUGACUGGCAGUCUUGUCGUAAACUCAUUAAUAUUUUUUCUCUUAACAGGCUUAGAUUUAUACAAACUUUUAAGGGGUUAGAGUCCAUUAUAUCUGGCCUUGGAAUCUAUUUCUUGUGGGAUUUUACCAAUUUUGGUAGCUUUUUUCCUUGCAAAUGGAGAAGGGGACAAACUUGUUUAUGUGAUAACUUAUCGAAAAGAACUUCUUUAUGUGACUUUUGCUUCUUUCUGCUUUCUUUAUAAAUCUGGUGUCCAUUUGGUGUCUGCACCAAAUUAAUUAAAAUUGUGAUGCCUUUUGUUUGAAGAUCAUCUGCCUCGGUCAGGGUGCUCAAGCAUCUCUUUUUGGAUCAAUAUAUUCUACUUUAAGUGGGCAUCAGAUUAUGCCCAACAGGUUGAGUCCUCUUGGAUGAAGUACUGUGAUUGAUGUUCAGUUGUAUGUAGGGUAAAUCUUGAACUAUGCACGACUGAUCAUAAAUCUAGUGUUUUAACAGAUUAAAUAGAAAGUUAGCUUGUUCUAUUUAGUUGUACUAAUUUGAAGGACAUAACAUUGUGCCCUCUAUGUCCUGUAUUAAUCAAAAUCGACCUUUCUCUGUAUUUUUUUCUUCUUUUAAUAAAUAGGGUAAUUUUAUUAAGAAAGCACCAACAAGCAACAAGGUAACUCUUAGGGUGGAGGGAGAAGAAGCCUUUUGGAGAGGGGUGAUAGCGGAUAAAUAUGGAGAAAUGGAAGGGGAUGGUGAACAAAUGGGAUCACUAUGCCUUUCGGGUGUGGUGUGUGGAGGGAUAUAAUGAAGGGGUGGGAUGCCUUUAAUGAUAACAUUGGUUUUAAGGUUGGGGAUGGUAUUAGAGUUAGUUUUUUGGGGGCAAAAGUGGUGUGGAGGUAUGGUGCUUAAGGAUGAAUUCCCGGUAAUGUAUAGAGUCUCUUGCCAAAGGGAUUUGUCUGUUCAGCAAGUUAGAGGGACACAAGGGGAUGGGACUUUUUGGGAUUUGAGGUUUAGGAGGAAUUUCAGGAUAGGGAGGUGACGGAGCUUCAGAAAAUGCUAGUUUUACUUAAAAAGCAUUGCUAGCCGGUCGACCGAAGCUUUGAGUUGGGAGUUGGGGGAUAACGAAGUGUUCUUUAUUAAGUCCUACGAGAAACUCCUGGUUAGGGCGGAGGAUAGUUUCCAUAUGCUUUGGCCUGGAUACCUAAGGUGCCAAGUAAGGUGUGCUUCUUCACGCGGUUGGCUACUACAGGGUGAUUUUGACAGCGGAGAAUCUUAGGAAACGAAAGGUUGUCUGCUUGAGCUGGUGUUUCCUUUGCAAGGAGGCAGGUGAGGACGUGGAUCACAUUAUGUUACAUUGCAAUUAGCCUCGAGGUUGUGGGGGAUAUAUUCAGAUGGUUUGGUAUUUCUUGGGUAAUGCUAAGAUCUGUGAAGGAGUUAGCUAGGAGAAGAAGGCACAAGGUGUAGUGUGUUAUUUCUAGUUUCCUUUUGGUGUACUUAUUAUGAGGUCCCUAUUUGUAUAGAGGAUUGGAUCUCUUUUGUUGAGAAUCAUAUUUUGGUGUAGAUUCUCUUCUUUUGGUAUACGGCUUGUAUACGGGACUUCCCCAUUUUUUAAUAAAAUACUUACCUUAUUAAAAAAUGUGGGUCAUUUGGAAA
This is a long non-coding RNA of Lycium ferocissimum, 1753 nucleotides long. RefSeq lists it as uncharacterized. The transcript has 2 exons. The record is from RefSeq and is a predicted model, not a curated record. NCBI's taxonomy places the organism in Eukaryota, Viridiplantae, Streptophyta, Magnoliopsida, Solanales, Solanaceae.